AAGAAUUGUAAAUAAUUAAACCUAGAGUAGUAUUAGUUAAGAUCUUGAAACUCAAAAAAUUUGGCGGUAUUUUAGUCUAUUUAGAGGAACCUGUAGUAUAAUCGAUAAUCCACGAUGGACCUCACUUAAUUUUGUUUUUCAGUUUGUAUACCGCUGUUAUUUGAAAAUUUUAUAAGAAUAUUAAUUUUCAUAAUCUUUGAUUAAAGAAUAAAUCAGGUCAAGGUGCAGCUUAUGAUUAAGUAUUUAUGGGUUACAAUAAAUUUAUUUAUAUGAAUUAAGGCAUGAAAAUUGUUUUUUGAAAGCGGAUUUAAUAGUAAAUUUUUAAAGAUAAAAAAAUUGAUU
RNAcentral lists this ribosomal RNA (342 nucleotides) under Gymnopternus brevicornis. RNAcentral describes it as "partial 12S ribosomal RNA". The record is from RNAcentral. Lineage: Eukaryota; Metazoa; Arthropoda; Insecta; Diptera; Dolichopodidae.